AGGUCUAUACCCGAGAAUUAAUAGUCAUCUAUGCCUGGUCCUAUUGUAUUUAAUAUUUCUCACUGAUUUAGAAGAGAUGACAUACUUCUCUGUCUUGAAGAUGGAAGGAACUGUGAAUGUACUGGCUGAUAGAAUUGGUAUCUAAAAAGAUCUUGACAGUUUAGAAUGAUGGGCCAUGUGUAGUAAUGAGCUUCCUUUCACUUUAAGUCUUCCAGCAGAGCCUGGAAGAUAAUUUUUAUAGGGUGGUAACUAAAAGUCCUUUUGGGUAUAGAUCUGUGUUACAGGAGUCAGCCUUGCCAAAGAAGAUGAAAUGGGAGAAUGACAAGACAAAUGAUAAGAACACUACUUCUCAUCCAGAUUUUGCAUGUAGAAAAAUGGAUAUGCAUGGGAUUUAUGAAGGGAUAGCAUGAAAGAUCAGUACUUUUGUAAUGAAAAGACCUGAGUUAUUU
RNAcentral lists this long non-coding RNA (449 nucleotides) under Monodelphis domestica (gray short-tailed opossum). RNAcentral describes it as "lncRNA (ENSMODG00000050408.1)". Lineage: Eukaryota; Metazoa; Chordata; Mammalia; Didelphimorphia; Didelphidae. The record is from RNAcentral.